This 1032-nucleotide long non-coding RNA is filed under the name Brassica rapa (field mustard). RNAcentral describes it as "long non-coding RNA (BRAP_LNC006303)". The record is from RNAcentral. Lineage: Eukaryota; Viridiplantae; Streptophyta; Magnoliopsida; Brassicales; Brassicaceae.
UCUGACACAUUCACCAAAUCUGCUUCAUCUGUAAGUAAACAACUUUACACCUUAAAUAAUUUUAGCCUGAUCAACUUGGUAUAUGUGUUUCAAUGAAGUGAUCUGCCUUUGUUUCCGUUGCACUAACAUUCUAGAUCUGUUUUGCUCUUUCUCUCCUUGAAAUAGCAAGAGGCAGCCGAUGCUGUCAAGCCCUUCAAAGAUGACCCGGCAAAACAAGAAAGAUUUGAGCAGUUUCUCAAGGAGAAAUACAAAGGAGGGUUACGUACAACAGAUUCCAAUAGUUUUAACAGGAUGUCGGAAUCAGCUCGUGCUCAAGAGAGGCUGGACUUUGAGGCUGCAGCUGAGGCCAUUGAGAAAGGGAAAGCUUACAAGGAGGUCAGACGAGCUACUGAACGGCCUGUCGACUUUCUUGCAGGAGGGCUGCAAUUUACUUCUGGUGGAACAGAGGUAUGUAUACACUAUCUUCAUUGUAGUUAUUCUAUGCUCAUACAUAUGUUAAAACUUUUUAUUUUAACAGCAAAUUAAAGACACUGGAGUAGUAGACAUGAAAUCAAGUAAGACAUACCCUAAAAGGGAAGAGUUCCAAUGGCGUCCUGCACCUCUUCUGUGCAAACGAUUUGACCUUCCUGAUCCUUUCAUGGGAAAGGUAAAUAACUGGUUCCUUGCUUCUCCUUCCUGGAAUGUUAUUUAAACCGUACAUUCUUUUAACACCUGAAAGGAUCCCUACAAGGGUACACUAUUCAAAUUUCAGCGUCAUGUUCCUUCUUAUGCCUAAAAUGUAGUGCUUGAGCCAGUCUUAUACAUUUUCCCUUUAAUUUACAGCCCGGAACUGCUCCGCGAGCAAGAAACAAAAUGGAUUCUCUCAUAUUCUUGCCAGAUACAGUUAAAGCUGUAUCUGAUCUACAAGAACCUAAGAAAGAGACAACAGUAGUAGAGCCAGAAGUUGAGGUACAAGUGGAGAAUGUGGAGAGACCUGUUGAUCUUUACAAGGUAAGAAGGGUGUCUUGGUCUGAGAAAUUUUAUGCCAACGUA